RNAcentral lists this ribosomal RNA (253 nucleotides) under uncultured bacterium. RNAcentral's name for it is "partial 16S ribosomal RNA". It matches the Rfam family "Bacterial small subunit ribosomal RNA", at positions 524 to 776 of the family's 1533-position model. The record is from RNAcentral.
UACGUAGGUGGCAAGCGUUGUCCGGAAUUAUUGGGCGUAAAGCGCGUGUAGGCGGCUUUGCAAGUCGGGUGUGAAAGCCCUCGGCUCAACCGAGGAAGUGCGCCCGAAACUGCAGAGCUUGAGUACCGGAGGGGAUGGCGGAAUUCCUGGUGUAGAGGUGAAAUUCGUAGAUAUCAGGAGGAACACCUGUGGCGAAGGCGGCCAUCUGGACGGUAACUGACGCUGAGACGCGAAAGCGUGGGUAGCAAACAGG